CGUUGCACUAUCGUUAACUGAAUACAUAGGUUAACGAGGCGAACCGGGGGAACUGAAACAUCUAAGUACCCCGAGGAAAAGAAAUCAACCGAGAUUCCCCCAGUAGCGGCGAGCGAACGGGGAGCAGCCCGGAGUCUGAAUCAGCUUGUGUGUUAGUGGAACGGUCUGGAAAGUCCGACGGUACAGGGUGAUAGUCCCGUACACGAAAGCACACUUGCUGUGAACUCGAAGAGUAGGGCGGGACACGUGGUAUCCUGUCUGAAUAUGGGGGGACCAUCCUCCAAGGCUAAAUACUCCUGACUGACCGAUAGUGAACCAGUACCGUGAGGGAAAGGCGAAAAGAACCCCGGCGAGGGGAGUGAAAAAGAACCUGAAACCGUGUACGUACAAGCAGUGGGAGCCUCUUUAUGGGGUGACUGCGUACCUUUUGUAUAAUGGGUCAGCGACUUAUAUUCUGUAGCAAGGUUAACCGUAUAGGGGAGCCGAAGGGAAACCGAGUCUUAACUGGGCGUUAAGUUGCAGGGUAUAGACCCGAAACCCGGUGAUCUAGCCAUGGGCAGGUUGAAGGUUGGGUAACACUAACUGGAGGACCGAACCGACUAAUGUUGAAAAAUUAGCGGAUGACCUGUGGCUGGGGGUGAAAGGCCAAUCAAACCGGGAGAUAGCUGGUUCUCCCCGAAAGCUAUUUAGGUAGCGCCUCGUGAACUCAUCUUCGGGGGUAGAGCACUGUUUCGGCUAGGGGGCCAUCCCGGCUUACCAACCCGAUGCAAACUACGAAUACCGAAGAAUGUUAUCACGGGAGACACACGGCGGGUGCUAACGUCCGUCGUGAAGAGGGAAACAACCCAGACCGCCAGCUAAGGUCCCAAAGUCAUGGUUAAGUGGGAAACGAUGUGGGAAGGCACAGACAGCCAGGAUGUUGGCUUAGAAGCAGCCAUCAUUUAAAGAAAGCGUAAUAGCUCACUGGUCGAGUCGGCCUGCGCGGAAGAUGUAACGGGGCUAAACCAUGCACCGAAGCUGCGGCAGCGACGCUUANGCGUUGUUGGGUAGGGGAGCGUUCUGUAAGCCGUUGAAGGUGUCCUGUGAGGGGUGCUGGAGGUAUCAGAAGUGCGAAUGCUGACAUAAGUAACGAUAAAGCGGGUGAAAAGCCCGCUCGCCGGAAGACCAAGGGUUCCUGUCCAACGUUAAUCGGGGCAGGGUGAGUCGACCCCUAAGGCGAGGCCGAAAGGCGUAGUCGAUGGGAAACAGGUUAAUAUUCCUGUACUUGGUGUUACUGCGAAGGGGGGACGGAGAAGGCUAUGUCAGCCGGGCGACGGUUGUCCCGGUUUAAGCAUGUAGGCGGAGGUUCCAGGUAAAUCCGGUACCUUAUUAACGCUGAGGUGUGAUGACGAGGCACUACGGUGCUGAAGUGAUAAAUGCCCUGCUUCCAGGAAAAGCCUCUAAGCAUCAGGUAACACGAAAUCGUACCCCAAACCGACACAGGUGGUCAGGUAGAGAAUACCAAGGCGCUUGAGAGAACUCGGGUGAAGGAACUAGGCAAAAUGGUGCCGUAACUUCGGGAGAAGGCACGCUGAUGUGUAGGUGAAGCCCCUGCGGGCGGAGCUGAAAUCAGUCGAAGAUACCAGCUGGCUGCAACUGUUUAUUAAAAACACAGCACUGUGCAAACACGAAAGUGGACGUAUACGGUGUGACGCCUGCCCGGUGCCGGAAGGUUAAUUGAUGGGGUUAGCGGCAACGCGAAGCUCUUGAUCGAAGCCCCGGUAAACGGCGGCCGUAACUAUAACGGUCCUAAGGUAGCGAAAUUCCUUGUCGGGUAAGUUCCGACCUGCACGAAUGGCGUAAUGAUGGCCAGGCUGUCUCCACCCGAGACUCAGUGAAAUUGAACUCGCUGUGAAGAUGCAGUGUACCCGCGGCAAGACGGAAAGACCCCGUGAACCUUUACUAUAGCUUGACACUGAACACUGGUCCUUGAUGUGUAGGAUAGGUGGGAGGCUUUGAAGCGUGGACGCCAGUCUGCGUGGAGCCAACCUUGAAAUACCACCCUUUAAUGGCUGGUGUUCUAACGUAGACCCGUAAUCCGGGUUGCGGACAGUGUCUGGUGGGUAGUUUGACUGGGGCGGUCUCCUCCCAAAGAGUAACGGAGGAGCACGAAGGUUGGCUAAUCCUGGUCGGACAUCAGGAGGUUAGUGCAAUGGCAUAAGCCAGCUUGACUGCGAGCGUGACGGCGCGAGCAGGUGCGAAAGCAGGUCAUAGUGAUCCGGUGGUUCUGAAUGGAAGGGCCAUCGCUCAACGGAUAAAAGGUACUCCGGGGAUAACAGGCUGAUACCGCCCAAGAGUUCAUAUCGACGGCGGUGUUUGGCACCUCGAUGUCGGCUCAUCACAUCCUGGGGCUGAAGUAGGUCCCAAGGGUAUGGCUGUUCGCCAUUUAAAGUGGUACGCGAGCUGGGUUUAGAACGUCGUGAGACAGUUCGGUCCCUAUCUGCCGUGGGCGCUGGAGAAUUGAGGGGGGCUGCUCCUAGUACGAGAGGACCGGAGUGGACGCAUCACUGGUGUUCGGGUUGUCAUGCCAAUGGCACUGCCCGGUAGCUAAAUGCGGAA
This 2598-nucleotide ribosomal RNA is filed under the name Enterobacter hormaechei. RNAcentral describes it as "23S ribosomal RNA". It matches the Rfam family "Bacterial large subunit ribosomal RNA", at positions 141 to 2760 of the family's 2925-position model. Lineage: Bacteria; Pseudomonadati; Pseudomonadota; Gammaproteobacteria; Enterobacterales; Enterobacteriaceae. The record is from RNAcentral.